Molecule: non-coding RNA, 204 nt
Organism: Heterocephalus glaber (naked mole-rat)
Lineage: Eukaryota; Metazoa; Chordata; Mammalia; Rodentia; Bathyergidae
Source: RefSeq, a predicted model, not a curated record
GUGAGCUCUUCCGAUCUUUUAAGAUGACACUUUUAAAAUAAAAUCCUCUCCUAAUGAUGACUUGAGCCUUGCCACUUGAUGGGAGAAUCAGCAGAACCUGUAGAGUCUUAUUUGGAAUUGACAUUCUCUAUUGUAAUUUUGUUGGUUUAUUUUUAAAUUCUUUUUGUUUUCACUGGAAAGGAAAAGGUGAUGUGCAGUUUUAAU